This is a non-coding RNA of Melanogaster broomeanus, 89 nucleotides long. Lineage: Eukaryota; Fungi; Basidiomycota; Agaricomycetes; Boletales; Melanogastraceae. The record is from the annotation of a GenBank genome assembly.
UCGGAUAUGGUGUAAUGGCUAACAUUACCGCCUCUCAGAAUUACACAGUCUGACCGCGGUAGCUCGGGGUUCGAUUCCCCGUAUCCGAG